AGUCACGAGUUUGAUCCUGGCUCAGAUUGAACGCUGGCGGAAUGCUUACACAUGCAAGUCGAACGGUAGACGGGGGGCAACCCUUGAGAGUGGCGAACGGGUGAGUAAUAUAUCGGAACGUGCCCAGUCGUGGGGGAUAACGUAGCGAAAGUUACGCUAAUACCGCAUACGAUCUACGGAUGAAAGCGGGGGACUCGCAAGAGCCUCGCGCGAUUGGAGCGGCCGAUAUCAGAUUAGGUAGUUGGUGGGGUAAAGGCUCACCAAGCCAACGAUCUGUAGCUGGUCUGAGAGGACGACCAGCCACACUGGAACUGAGACACGGUCCAGACUCCUACGGGAGGCAGCAGUGGGGAAUUUUGGACAAUGGACGCAAGUCUGAUCCAGCCAUUCCGCGUGCAGGAUGAAGGCCCUCGGGUUGUAAACUGCUUUUGUACGGAACGAAAAGGUUUCUAUUAAUACUAGGAGCUCAUGACGGUACCGUAAGAAUAAGCACCGGCUAACUACGUG
This 507-nucleotide ribosomal RNA is filed under the name uncultured bacterium. RNAcentral describes it as "bacterial SSU rRNA". It matches the Rfam family "Bacterial small subunit ribosomal RNA", at positions 1 to 507 of the family's 1533-position model. The record is from RNAcentral.